CAACUUUCAACAACGGAUCUCUUGGUUCUGGCAUCGAUGAAGAACGCAGCGAAAUGCGAUACGUAGUGUGAAUUGCAAAAUUCAGUGAAUCAUCGAAUCUUUGAACGCACAUUGCGCCCUUUGGUAUUCCAAAGGGCAUGCCUGUUCGAGCGUCAUUU
Molecule: ribosomal RNA, 158 nt
Filed under: Curvularia aeria
Lineage: Eukaryota; Fungi; Ascomycota; Dothideomycetes; Pleosporales; Pleosporaceae
Description: 5.8S ribosomal RNA
Rfam family: 5.8S ribosomal RNA
About the family: 5.8S ribosomal RNA (5.8S rRNA) is a component of the large subunit of the eukaryotic ribosome. It is transcribed by RNA polymerase I as part of the 45S precursor that also contains 18S and 28S rRNA.
Source: RNAcentral